RNAcentral lists this ribosomal RNA (254 nucleotides) under uncultured bacterium. Its description in RNAcentral is "partial 16S ribosomal RNA". It matches the Rfam family "Bacterial small subunit ribosomal RNA", at positions 524 to 777 of the family's 1533-position model. The record is from RNAcentral.
UACAGAGGGGGCAAGCGUUGUUCGGAAUUACUGGGCGUAAAGGGCGCGUAGGCGGCCCGCUAAGUCGAACGUGAAAUCCCCAGGCUCAACCUGGGAACUGCGUCCGAUACUGGAUGGCUUGAAUCCGGGAGAGGGAUGCAGAAUUCCAGGUGUAGCGGUGAAAUGCGUAGAUAUCUGGAGGAAUACCGGUGGCGAAGGCGGCAUCCUGGACCGGCAUUGACGCUGAGGAGCGAAAGCUAGGGGAGCAAACGGGG